GAACAACAAGGGUUAUAGGACAAGGCAAGAUAUUGUUUGCUCAUGUGAGGUUUGUAUUUCUUAAUUUAAAGGUAAUUAGGUGGUUUGUCCGGUGCUGAACGGUAGGUUGAAGCUGCAAAUCAGUAAUCUAUUGGCAAUAUUUAACAGGGCUCAUCACGGAUCAGCAAUUGUGCUUCUGUAAGGACUGGGUGUAAAGUGAUGAUAAGGUUGCUUAGAACUAGUGUGAUCAUGGAUGGUAUAUUAGCCGAGUGAACACAAGCCACAACCACAAAUUAUCCGAGGGGUAUGCAGAGAAGAAACAAUGGAAUUCUCACAGAAUGAUAGAUGCAACCACCAAGUAUUAUCAAGAAACAAAGAGACAACAAUGUGCUGUUACAUUUGGACAGGCAAGAAAUACCAAAGUUUAAUAUAAUGCAAAGAUGGACAAAGGAGGCAAUUGUAUAUAAUAUAAAUCACAGGCACAUGACAGUGAUAUAGGAUCAGAUGCAGAUCAAAUGAGAAAGAAGGCUUUGCUGAUGAUGCAGACACUUCAGUUAGUCCAUGGACCUACUGCUGUUGACGAGCAGAUGUUCAGGAAUGCUAUGGAAGCUUUAAGGGCUCUUCCUGCAGUGCAGUGCACCGAUGGAGUAAUUGUUCAAUCUGGCAUGAGUAGCAUGGACAUUGAGCAUGAGCAGCUCCCUGUUUCUUGUCCUGAAAGGACAAUGAAAGGUGGCCGGCCACUUAGUACUGGACUUAAGGCGUGGCUAUCAAGGAACGAUAAGAAAAGGAUCUCAGAAUGUUCAUCAAGGGAUUCAUUAGCUGAAGACUGGCCUGAGGAAGAGAGGCCUGAUAGGAAGAAGACCCGGCGCAUAAUUGAUAUUUGAUAGGCGAAGAAUGUAGUAUAGUUUAUUUUGAAAUUUGGACGACUCAUUUAUGAUAGUGCAUGCUUGCCUAUAAGUGUGUAUCAGACUUUUCUGUAAUUGGAGUUGAUAUAAUAUAUAUUUUUAA
This is a long non-coding RNA of Panicum virgatum (switchgrass), 987 nucleotides long. RefSeq lists it as uncharacterized. The transcript is spliced from 2 exons. Lineage: Eukaryota; Viridiplantae; Streptophyta; Magnoliopsida; Poales; Poaceae. The record is from RefSeq and is a predicted model, not a curated record.